UUUCCGUAGGUGAACCCGCGGAAGGAUCAUUAACGAAUAAUCGAGGCACGAGGUCUGUCGCUCACACGCUAGGUCGUGUACGCCCGAUUGUCCUCACACUCAACCAUCUCACCCCGAUGUCCUCCACCGUGUCGGUCCCCGUUUGGCCUGUUUGGAGGGGGGCUUACGGAUUCACGCGAAUUUUGUAUACAGUGUAGAAGGAAUUAUUUGUUUUGUCGACCACGUUAUCACUACCAAUUUCAACAACGGAUCACUUGUCUCCUGCAUUGAUGAAGAGAG
RNAcentral lists this unclassified non-coding RNA (279 nucleotides) under plant metagenome. Its description in RNAcentral is "partial contains small subunit ribosomal RNA, internal transcribed spacer 1, and 5.8S ribosomal RNA". The record is from RNAcentral.